AAGGAUGGACCCGCGUCUGAUUAGCUAGUUGGUGAGGUAACGGCUCACCAAGGCGACGAUCAGUAGCCGGUCUGAGAGGAUGAACGGCCACAUUGGGACUGAGAUACGGCCCAGACUCCUACGGGAGGCAGCAGUGGGGAAUAUUGGGCAAUGGGGGAAACCCUGACCCAGCAACGCCGCGUGAAGGAAGAAGGCCUUCGGGUUGUAAACUUCUUUUACCAGGGACGAAGAACGUGACGGUACCUGGAGAAAAAGCAACGGCUAACUACGUGCCAGCAGCCGCGGUAAUACGUAGGUUGCAAGCGUUGUCCGGAUUUACUGGGUGUAAAGGGCGUGUAGGCGGAGAUGCAAGUUGGGAGUGAAAUCCCGGGGCUCAACCCCGGAACUGCUCUCAAAACUGCAUCCCUUGAGUAUCGGAGAGGCAAGCGGAAUUCCUAGUGUAGCGGUGAAAUGCGUAGAUAUUAGGAGGAACACCAGUGGCGAAGGCGGCUUGCUGGACGACAACUGACGCUGAGGCGCGAAAGCGUGGGGAGCAAACAGGAUUAGAUACCCUGGUAGUCCACGCUGUAAACGAUGAAUACUAGGUGUGGGCAUGCAAGGCAUGUCCGUGCCGCAGCUAACGCAAUAAGUAUUCCGCCUGGGGAGUACGGCCGCAAGGUUGAAACUCAAAGGAAUUGACGGGGGCCCGCACAAGCAGCGGAGCAUGUGGUUUAAUUCGAAGCAACGCGAAGAACCUUACCAGGUCUUGACAUCCAGUAAAACUUGUAGAGAUACAUCGUGACUUCGGUCAUACUGAGACAGGUGGUGCAUGGUUGUCGUCAGCUCGUGUCGUGAGAUGUUGGGUUAAGUCCCGCAACGAGCGCAACCCUUAUCGUCCGUUACUAACGCGUAGAGGCGAGGACUCAGACGAGACCGCCGGGGACAACUCGGAGGAAGGUGGGGACGACGUCAAAUCAUCAUGCCCCUUACGACCUGGGCUACACACGUGCUACAAUGGGUACAACAAAGAGAUGCGAAAUCGUAAGGUGGAGCGAAACUCAUAAAAGUACUCUCAGUUCAGAUUGUGGGCUGCAACCCGCCCACAUGAAGUUGGAGUUGCUAGUAAUCGCGAAUCAGCAUGUCGCGGUGAAUACGUUCCCGGGCCUU
RNAcentral lists this ribosomal RNA (1146 nucleotides) under uncultured bacterium. RNAcentral describes it as "bacterial SSU rRNA". It matches the Rfam family "Bacterial small subunit ribosomal RNA", at positions 221 to 1382 of the family's 1533-position model. The record is from RNAcentral.